Molecule: unclassified non-coding RNA, 349 nt
Filed under: soil metagenome
Description: partial contains 5.8S ribosomal RNA, internal transcribed spacer 2, and large subunit ribosomal RNA
Rfam family: 5.8S ribosomal RNA (bases 1-120)
Source: RNAcentral
GAUGAAGAACGUAGCGAAAUGCGAUAAGUAAUGUGAAUUGCAGAAUUCAGUGAAUCAUCGAAUCUUUGAACGCACAUUGCGCCCCUUGGUAUUCCGGGGGGCAUGCCUGUUCGAGCGUCAUUAUCACCCCUCAUGCCCCUAGGGCGUGGUGUUGGGGAUCGGCCAAAGCCCGCGAGGGACGGCCGGCCCCUAAAUCUAGUGGCGGACCCGUCGUGGCCUCCUCUGCGAAGUAGUGAUAUUCCGCAUCGGAGAGCGAUGAGCCCCUGCCGUUAAACCCCCAACUUUCCAAGGUUGACCUCAGAUCAGGUAGGAAUACCCGCUGAACUUAAGCAUAUCAAUAAGCGGAGGA